Molecule: transfer RNA, 58 nt
Filed under: Cyriopagopus schmidti (Chinese earth tiger)
Lineage: Eukaryota; Metazoa; Arthropoda; Arachnida; Araneae; Theraphosidae
Description: Haplopelma schmidti (Chinese earth tiger) tRNA-His
Source: RNAcentral
AAUUUAAAAGUUUUGAAACAUUAACUUGUGGAGUUAAAAAUUCCUAAUCCUUACUUUU